AAACUUUCAACAACGGAUCUCUUGGUUCUGGCAUCGAUGAAGAACGCAGCAAAAUGCGAUAAGUAAUGUGAAUUGCAGAAUUCAGUGAAUCAUCGAAUCUUUGAACGCACAUUGCGCCCGCCAGUAUUCUGGCGGGCAUGCCUGUUCGAGCGUCAUUUC
RNAcentral lists this ribosomal RNA (159 nucleotides) under Fusarium fujikuroi. RNAcentral's name for it is "5.8S ribosomal RNA". It matches the Rfam family "5.8S ribosomal RNA". Rfam says of the family: 5.8S ribosomal RNA (5.8S rRNA) is a component of the large subunit of the eukaryotic ribosome. It is transcribed by RNA polymerase I as part of the 45S precursor that also contains 18S and 28S rRNA. Lineage: Eukaryota; Fungi; Ascomycota; Sordariomycetes; Hypocreales; Nectriaceae. The record is from RNAcentral. RNAcentral also lists the same sequence under 14 other names.